UACGAAGGGGGCUAGCGUUGUUCGGAUUUACUGGGCGUAAAGCGCACGUAGGCGGGUCGUUAAGUCAGGGGUGAAAUCCUCCGGCCCAACCGGAGAAGUGCCUUUGAUACUGGCGGCCUCGAGGGAGGUAGGGGCCUGCGGAACUUCCGGUGGAGCGGUGAAAUGCGUAGAUAUCGGAAGGAACGCCGGUGGCGAAAGCGGCGGGCUGGACCUCCUCUGACGCUGAGGCGCGAAAGCCAGGGGAGCAAACGGG
Molecule: ribosomal RNA, 253 nt
Filed under: uncultured bacterium
Lineage: Bacteria
Description: partial 16S ribosomal RNA
Rfam family: Bacterial small subunit ribosomal RNA
Source: RNAcentral